RNAcentral lists this ribosomal RNA (301 nucleotides) under uncultured bacterium. RNAcentral's name for it is "partial 16S ribosomal RNA". It matches the Rfam family "Bacterial small subunit ribosomal RNA", at positions 509 to 807 of the family's 1533-position model. The record is from RNAcentral.
CAGUCGCCGCGGUAAGACAGAGGUCCCGAGCGUUGUUCGGAUUCAUUGGGCGUAAAGGGUGUGUAGGAGGUCGGGUAAGUCAGGUGUGAAAUCUCAGAGCUUAACUCUGAAACUGCGCUUGAUACUGCUCGGCUAGAGGAUCGGAGGGGGUAACGGAAUUUAUGGUGUAGCAGUGAAAUGCGUAGAUAUCAUAAGGAACACCGGUGGCGAAGGCGGUUACCUAGAGGAUUCCUGACUCUGAAACACGAAAGCCAGGGGAGCAAACGGGAUUAGAUACCCCCGUAGUCCCUGUCUCUUAUAC